GGGUCAAUGAUGAGAACUCAUAUGCUGUUGAAGAGAGAUGAUGACCUAAAAACCAUGUCCAAUAGGAUUACCCUGAGGCCC
This is a small nucleolar RNA of Suricata suricatta (meerkat), 81 nucleotides long. Its record names the gene SNORD115. It matches the Rfam family "Small nucleolar RNA SNORD115". From Rfam's summary of the family: HBII-52 is a member of the C/D class of snoRNAs, which contain the C (UGAUGA) and D (CUGA) box motifs. The record is from Ensembl. Lineage: Eukaryota; Metazoa; Chordata; Mammalia; Carnivora; Herpestidae.